Lonchura striata (white-rumped munia) is the source of this 1316-nucleotide non-coding RNA. Lineage: Eukaryota; Metazoa; Chordata; Aves; Passeriformes; Estrildidae. The record is from RefSeq and is a predicted model, not a curated record.
GAGGCAUGGAUCAGGAAACUGAAGUGGCCUGAUUUGGAACAGUUCAGCAAGAAAAGGUGGAAAGCACUGUAUGUAUCUCCAGAAUCUACUGAGACAGCUGCUUUCCACAAGGCCUAUGAGAACUUUGCUUUCUUCUGGAUUCUCAAGGCUGGGCACAUGGUACCAGCUGACCAAGGAGAGAUGGCACUCAAAAUGCUCAGGAUGGUGACUCAGCAGCAGCACUAGGGGAGGGGAAAUCACCUGGUCUGGUCUGAAGUGUGAUUCUGGAUCCUAAGCCAAAGGAGGCACAGUGGCCAUUUUGACACACAGCCUCCCUCAUCUUGCUGACACUGUGCACAAGUGCUUGUGGAAAGGCAUUUUUUUCCUUGAAUGAGUUAUUGCUUUUGAAUUUUUAAGCUGCGAUUUGCUGCCUUAACAUUGUUCAUAAAUGACUCUUCCAGAGGGAAGUCCCCUGUCAUAAAGAACAAGCCCUGAACCUUUGCCUUGGAAGGAUUUUGUGCUCUUUCCCUUCCCUGAAUGCUCCCUUGUCUGUCUGCACACCAAGAGUAAAACUGAUUUGACAUGAUUUGCUUUGUGUUCCUGUGGGACAGCAGACCUGCUUCAUGGAGGCUGUGGAAUGUUCCUUCCUGUGUCCUCAGGCUUGAGUCACCUGGCUGGAUUACAAACUGAAGACAUGGAAAUGCCAGGACAGAGGACCUGCCCUAGAGGAAGCACAGUUCAUUUCAUCUUGCUGAGGUGCCUGCAUUAGGAUCCAGGAUUCUUCAGACUUCCUCUGCUGUGGAAGAGAGAAAAACAUCCCACAGAGGAGGAUUUGUCCCUUUUCAUCUGACCAUUUGUUUCCAUUUUUCUUAAUGCCCAUUACUCAAACUUUGCCUUUAUCCUCAACACCUAAAGCACAUCCAGCAGGAAUUCCUGCUUUUCUGUAUCCUGAAGCAGAAGGCCUGUUAAUACCCUCUUGUACCAAAGAGUCCCAACAGACAGAAGCCUCUUAAAACCUUCUGGGUUUAGCCAGAAGGAAAGGAGCAUUAUUUGAGCAAUAACAGCAUAAUUCUGAAAGACAAUAGGAGUGUUUAAAAGAAGGAUAUACAAAAUCUUGAUCCAUGUCUUUUAGAGAUUUUUUUUAAGUCUUGCGGAGACCUAUUAUUUUGAAACAUUUUUUUUUAUAAUACAUAAUCAAGAAGAGACUUGGUCAGACAUCAUUUGACUUUUGCUAUGGAGCAUGAACUAGUUGUUUCUUAUUGGUGUCUGAUGGGAGGCACAACAGCUGCUUCCAGCUGUCAGAAUCCUAAAUAAAUAGCAACCUCUCACUUACUCCA